Molecule: long non-coding RNA, 478 nt
Filed under: Brassica napus (rape)
Lineage: Eukaryota; Viridiplantae; Streptophyta; Magnoliopsida; Brassicales; Brassicaceae
Description: long non-coding RNA (BNAP_LNC026508)
Source: RNAcentral
AUAAAUCACUCAUUCCGCAAAUACUUAGCGGAAAAUUUAUACUUAAGCGCCAAAGACAUUAUUUAAGCGGCUUCAGUAAUGCUUUCAAAAACAUAUAAUAGCAUUUUUCUAAUGCUAAGAAAAACCAUUUUCAAACAUUAUAUUUCAAACACUAUAACUCUAAACUUAAAAUACAUAUCAAAUCAUAAACUCUUUUUUAUAUUUAAACACAAUUUGUAAUUUCCAAAAUUCUUUAAUUUUAUAACUUUAACUUUAUAACUAAGUCUUAACAUUUAUAUUUAAUAAUUUAUUUUAACAUUUAUAAUCCGUAUAUUAAAAAUUUAAAUUCCAAACCCUAUAUCUAAACUCCAAACCUAUUCCACAAACCCCAAAUAUACUUUAAACCCUAUGUACAGUACCAAAAAUUGAAAUCUACACUGUAAAACUAAUAUUUUCUAAGUUAAAGACCAAAUCUUAACAUACAAAUCAUAAACACUAC